AAGACGUCUACAUUAGAUACCCGGGUAGUCCCAGCCGUAAACUACGCGCGUUAGGUGUAUCGGUGACCACGAGUCACCGAGGUGCCGAAGGGAAACCGUGAAACGUGCCGCCUGGGAAGUACGGUCGCAAGGCUGAAACUUAAAGGAAUUGGCGGGGAGCACCACAACGGGUGGAGCCUGCGGUUUAAUUGGACUCAACGCCGGGAAGCUCACCGGAUAAGACAGCGGAAUGAUUGCCGGGCUGAAGACUCUGCAUGACUAGCUG
Molecule: ribosomal RNA, 265 nt
Filed under: uncultured archaeon
Lineage: Archaea
Description: partial 16S ribosomal RNA
Rfam family: Archaeal small subunit ribosomal RNA
Source: RNAcentral